GAUGAACGCUUCCCUCCUGCUUAACACAUGCAAGUCAACUUGAACUUCGGUUUGGGUGGCGGACGGGUGAGUCACGCGUAAAGAACUUGCCUCACAGCUAGGGACAACAUUUGGAAACGAAUGCUAAUACCUGAUAUUAUGAUUUUAGGGCAUCCUAGAAUUAUGAAAGCUAUAUGCGCUGUGAGAGAGCUUUGCGUCCCAUUAGCUAGUUGGAGAGGUAACGGCUCACCAAGGCGAUGAUGGGUAGCCGGCCUGAGAGGGUGAACGGCCACAAGGGGACUGAGACACGGCCCUUACACCUACGGGAGGCAGCAGUGGGGAAUAUUGGUCAAUGGACCAAGAGUCUGAUCCAGCAAUUCUGUGUGCACGAUGAAGUUUUUCGGAAUGUAAAGUGCUUUCAGUUGAGAAGAAAAAAAUGACGGUACCAACAGAAGAAGGGACGGCUAAAUACGUG
RNAcentral lists this ribosomal RNA (454 nucleotides) under uncultured bacterium. RNAcentral's name for it is "partial 16S ribosomal RNA". It matches the Rfam family "Bacterial small subunit ribosomal RNA", at positions 28 to 507 of the family's 1533-position model. The record is from RNAcentral.